GCGCCCGUAGCUCAGCUGGAUAGAGCGUCUGCCUCCGGAGCAGAAGGCCGCAGGUUCGAAUCCUGCCGGGCGCGCCA
Molecule: transfer RNA, 77 nt
Filed under: Acidobacteriota bacterium
Lineage: Bacteria; Pseudomonadati; Acidobacteriota
Also listed under: 1 other name
Description: Acidobacteria bacterium tRNA-Arg
Rfam family: tRNA
About the family: Transfer RNA (tRNA) molecules are approximately 80 nucleotides in length. Their secondary structure includes four short double-helical elements and three loops (D, anti-codon, and T loops).
Source: RNAcentral